UUGAUUGUUUGCACGCAACUAUACACUCGUGCUCGUAUCAUGAACUGGUCAUUCAUUCUGAUCAUGUUUUUAUCAAAUCUGUAAGCAGAAGAAAAAUGCUUUGGUCAUACAUUUUGAGGGAAGUUCCUGUUAGAAAAUUGGAUCUACUUUGUACUUUGGUUAAUACACUAUUGAAUAACACAAGUUUUGUUCAAUAUGUGACUUACCAGAUGCCGUUAACUACUCAUAUUUGAAAUGGUGAAGUACUACAAGUACCAAGAAGUUUUGACCGUAUCAUUUUUUCUUCUAAAGUUGAUCUUUGUAUCAACAAUUGUGUAUCACUAUGAUAAUUAUGACACGAAAACAAGUUUAUGUUUUUGUAAAAAUUCUAAAACUGAUUUUUUGGUUUGUACAGUCCAAUAAUAAAUAAUUCUU
Acyrthosiphon pisum (pea aphid) is the source of this 414-nucleotide long non-coding RNA. RefSeq lists it as uncharacterized. NCBI's taxonomy places the organism in Eukaryota, Metazoa, Arthropoda, Insecta, Hemiptera, Aphididae. The transcript is spliced from 3 exons. The record is from RefSeq and is a predicted model, not a curated record.